GGAUGUGAGGGCGAUCUGGCUGUGACAUCUGUCACCCCGUUGAUCACCAGGACUGAUCCGGCUGACCUGGCUGACUGGGCAGAUGUCCCCUUCCUCCCUCACAGCUGCAUGUGCAUCCCUCCCGAAGCUUCGCACUCGGUAGAAGAGGAUGACCUUCCCUGGCAGAGGAGGACCAUUCUUUGGUCAAGGGUAUCCAAGUGGCUGCACUCCCCUGCUAGGACCCCCAAACAAGCUCUCAAGGUCCAUUUGUAGGAGAAAACGGAGGGUAGUCAAGCUUCCAAAACCCAAGACACAUCCAAAAUGAGGUGCUGCAUGUGGCUGCUUUCUUAUAAGU
This 334-nucleotide small nuclear RNA is filed under the name Vulpes vulpes (red fox). RNAcentral's name for it is "7SK RNA (ENSVVUG00000010686.1)". It matches the Rfam family "7SK RNA". From Rfam's summary of the family: 7SK was discovered as an abundant small nuclear RNA in the mid-70s but a possible function has only recently been suggested. Two independent studies have found that 7SK RNA binds the CDK9/cyclin T complex (known as elongation factor P-TEFb). P-TEFb activates transcription by phosphorylating the C-terminal domain of RNA polymerase II. The record is from Rfam by way of RNAcentral. Lineage: Eukaryota; Metazoa; Chordata; Mammalia; Carnivora; Canidae.